CUUCAUCGUCGUUUAACCGGAAUUUCAAUGUCCACUCCAUCUCUUCUUUACUGUUUUCUCUUUCUCUACAGACUUUAAAUCUGUCGCUGAAGCUUUGCUGAAGAUUUCUGUUUCUCUCCUACGAGCUGCGCAGCCUAUAAAUUCCUCUCUGAACGUUUCUUCAACAUUUCGCUUUCUGUCGGAUGACCUGCUCAGGAAAUUCUCUCCAACUCAAACAUACAAAUACCACUGAUACAGAACACCCUGCACAGUCUGCAGCAGCCUCUUCGUUAUCCCAACCUUAGAGGGAUUCUUUCAACUGUUGACGCACACUGUAUAUAGGAGCUACCCAGUCGACAACAUUCCCAGGCAUCCCUCACUUGCUCACAGGAGAUUGCCCACAGCUAAAACAUAGAAAUAACGCUGAUACAGAACAGUGUGCAGGCUGUGCAUCUGACUCUUCAUUAUGACCACCUUAGAGGGAUUGCUUCCACUCCUCACGCAAACCGUAUAUACCGGCUAGCCAGUCCACAAGAUUGACACACAUCCCACACGUUCUCACAGCAUCAUCUUCAUUACCGUCACCUUAGAGCGAUUGCUUCAACUGCCAACACAAAUCGUAUAUACAGCCUACCGACUCCACAAGAUUCACAGACAUCCCACCCGUCAUCACAGCUACAACAUUCCAAGUACAGUGACAAUUGUUAUGUCACCCAGUUGUAUUAGUCACUCCAGUACGAAAGUCUCUCAUAAUGGUACUACGACUAAAUAAUCGUACUUUAUUUGUGCUGCUAAUUUACUGCUUCUCUUACUGAUUUUGUUUCCACUGUUUGCCCAUCACUUUUCAUUCAACUCUUUUAAUUAAUGUUUCAACUUUUUGCACUUUUCUUUUUUCCACGAUAGUCCAAACUGUUAAUAGCUAUUCAAAAUCAUGAAUUGCUAGCCAUACCACUGUAGGGAAAUAGUUGCUUCUAGGCUUAUCCUUACUUUCUUUCAUCAGCUUAUCUUUUCUUUUUCCACAAUUAAAUGUGCUUACAAUAUAAAUGGCAUUUACAUAUUACACUCACAUAGGACGCAAAAAACUACAUAAGAAAAAGAAACACUAUAAUACAAAAUACAACUUUCAUCCUUUACUUUAGUUUUGUUUCCGAAUGUCAAUUCAAAGGAGAAAGCAUUGUUUAGUUGUUGUUUCUUUUGUUACUUCCUAUGUCCUGCAUUCCUACACAAGGACAGAAAAUUUCUACAAACUUGCCAACUUUUGUACUAUCUUCAAAUCCAAACUAACAAAAUUUAUUGUCUUUUCCCACAUAUUUUCUACAACGUAUUCCUUUGUGUGUGAAUCAUACAAAAGG
This is a long non-coding RNA of Solanum tuberosum (potato), 1331 nucleotides long. RefSeq lists it as uncharacterized. The transcript has 6 exons. The record is from RefSeq and is a predicted model, not a curated record. NCBI's taxonomy places the organism in Eukaryota, Viridiplantae, Streptophyta, Magnoliopsida, Solanales, Solanaceae.